AGACGGAGGGUGCUAGCGUUGUUGGGAAUGACUGGGCGUAAAGGGCGCGUAGGCGGUUUUGUUAGUCAGGCGUGAAAGCCCUGGGCUCAACCCAGGAACUGCGUUUGAUACUGCAAAACUUGAGGACGGAAGAGGAAAGUGGAAUUCCUAGUGUAGAGGUGAAAUUCGUAGAUAUUAGGAGGAACACCAGAGGCGAAGGCGGCUUUCUGGUCCGUUACUGACGCUGAGGCGCGAAAGCGUGGGGAGCAAACAGGAUUAGAUACCCCAGUAGUCC
RNAcentral lists this ribosomal RNA (274 nucleotides) under uncultured bacterium. RNAcentral's name for it is "partial 16S ribosomal RNA". It matches the Rfam family "Bacterial small subunit ribosomal RNA", at positions 523 to 796 of the family's 1533-position model. The record is from RNAcentral.